RNAcentral lists this ribosomal RNA (480 nucleotides) under Euphydryas maturna. Its description in RNAcentral is "partial 16S ribosomal RNA". The stretch from base 341 to 480 matches the Rfam family "Bacterial large subunit ribosomal RNA", at positions 2473 to 2612 of the family's 2925-position model. Lineage: Eukaryota; Metazoa; Arthropoda; Insecta; Lepidoptera; Nymphalidae. The record is from RNAcentral.
UAAAGGGCUGCAGUAUAUUGACUGUACAAAGGUAGCAUAAUCAUUAGUCUUUUAAUUGAAGACUUGUAUGAAGGAUUUGAUGAAAUAUGAACUGUCUCUGAUUUAUAAAUAGAAAUUAAUUUUUUAAUUAAAAAGUUAAAAUAUUAUUAAAAGACGAGAAGACCCUAUAGAGUUUUAUAAUUUAUUUAUUUAAUUAAUAAGUAUAUAUUUUAAUUUAAUAAAUAAUUAAAUUAUUAUGUUGGGGUGAUAAAAAAAUUUAAUAAACUUUUUUUUAAUUUGAAACACAAAUAAGUGAUAAAAUGAUCCAUUACUAAUGAUUAAAAGAAAAAAUUACCUUAGGGAUAACAGCGUAAUAUUUUUUUUUAGUACAAAUAAAAAAAAAAGUUUGCGACCUCGAUGUUGGAUUAAGAUAAAAUUUAAAUGCAAAAGUUUAAAAGUUUUGAUCUGUUCGAUCAUUAAAAUCUUACAUGAUCUGAGCUC